CCUGGUUCGCCCUCCGUGAACCAUCGUGACGGAACCUAGUCUCUACGACUAGGUAAGCCUAACUUUGUGGAAGAUAACCAAACUUGCGGAAGUAAAACAAUUUAAAAAUAGAAAUAAGGCAAAUACAGCAUGUAAAUGCGCCACACAACAUACACCAUGUUUAACUCUUAACACCAAACAUAAAUCCAAGACCUGAAAACCCACAAAUCACAAGCUAAGAAAGAAAUACUACAUAGCUCUAACUCCAGAAUUUCUAAUAAAGAACAGAAAAGUAUAAAAGAGCUAAAUACUAAAGGCAGGAAUAAAAAGGGAUUCCUUGGUCUGUGGACGCGGCAGAUGUACGUCGGAGUCUCUAAGCAGUUGCCUCUCUCAACGAUAGUAGGACUGAUCAGCGAUACCUAGAUCUGCACAUGAAAAACUUGCACAGGGAACUACUGGAAUCCCGUUCCAUAGUCCCAAAUGUAAUUACCUAGUACUGGAAGAAUCUACCAGGAAUCUCACACGUAGUCCCAAAGUAAACAGACCAGGGGGGAGCUACCGGAAUCCCACAUUCGUAGUCCCAAUGUAAAUACACAACGGCAGCAAGAAAUAUUUAGAGAAGGGAAAUUUCAUAUUAAGGCAAGAAAUAAUUCUAGCCUAGCAUGCUGCAUGGAGUUCAGGUAAACAGAUUUGAAUAAUUAAAGCAAUUAAAUCACUUAGACCUGCUUUCCUAAGCUAACAACAGGUUUAAUAGCACAAAUAAUAAAAAAACAGGAUAAGGAACAUACUGAUAAGUACUUGAAGAAAACCGAAUUUUCAACAAUUUGCACAAGUACGCACUCGUCACUUCACGUACAAGGCAUUUCAAUUACCAAAUAUAUCAAUCCUAAGGGAAAGGUCCCCCACACAAGGUUAGAUAAGCCACUUACCUCGAACCGGCUCAAAAUCAACUCAAAACCACACUUUUUCCACGAGUAUACGACUCUAAAUGGCCCAAAUCUAUUCAAUUCAAUCAUAUAUUGUAAAUAAUACUUCAAGUAACUGAUUCUACAAUUAAAAUUUAAGCUAAUACACGAAAACAUGUAAAAUGACCAAAACACCCCUCAGGCCAACAUCUCAGAAUCGGGUGAAAUUUAUAUUUCCAGAACCCUCAUACUCUCACGAGUUUAUACAUAACAAAAACACUGAAAUCGGAGUCCAAAUGGCCCCUCAAAUCCUCAAUUAAAGGUCUCUUAAACUCAAGCCCUAAUUACCCAUUUUUCUCAAAUUUCUCACCAUUAAUUAGGUCUUUAAUCACAUAAAAACGAGUGAUGAAGUCAAGGAUAUUACCUAUUUCCCUUUGCUUUCCUCAAGAAUCCCUCUUAAAAGCUCUAAACCCGGAUGAAAAUGGUGGAAGAAUAGCCAAAAUUCGCUAAGGCAACUAUUUAUAUGUUCUGCCUAGCGAUUUCCGCAUUUGCGGCCCUGGGACCGCAUCUGGGGUCCCGCUUCUGCGGAACAAGUAUCGCAUCUGCAACUUUGAUUAAAUGGCCAAUUUUCCGCACUGCGGUUUUCCACUCGCAGAUGCGGUUCCGCUUCUACAGAAGAUCCACCACAUCUGCGGAACCUACUUAACAAACCAAAAUUCGCUUCUGCGGUCUCCUUAGCCGCAUCUGCAGCGCCGCAUCUGCGGUCCCCAAGCCGCAGAUGCAAAAAUAGCAGAAGCAGCAAUGCUACAGCUGCUGCAACACUCCUUCAACCUUCCCGUCAACCAUCCGAAAUCAUCCCGAGGCCCCCGGGACCUCAACCAAAAGCGCCAACAUCACCUAAUACCUUAUUCAAACUUGUACCAAUCCUUAAAACACCUAAAACAACAUCGGAAACUCGAAUUAAUCAAGGACUUAAGCUUAAGAACUCCAAUUUCCUCCAAAUACGCUUUCGAUAAAAAACCUAACCAAAACACAUCCGAAUGACCUGAAAUCUUGCACACACAUCCCAAAUGACAUGACAGAACUACUGCAAACUUCCGGAAUUCCAUUCCGAACCUCGGAUCAAAAUCUCACUAUCAAACCGGAAACUUCAAAAAUUCAACCUUCGGCAUUUCAAGCCUAAAUGAGCUACGGACCUCCAAAACACUAUCCGAACACGCUCCCAACCCCAAAAUCACCCAUCGGAGCUAAAGGAAUAUUCUGAGGCCGUCCUUACACUACUCCGACUAUGGUCAACUUCUCAACACUUAAGCUCUCAUUUAGGGAUUUAGUGUCCCAAAACUCUCCUAAACUCAGAACCGAACAUCCCGGCAAACCAAAAUAACAGAAAUAAACAUGAAAAAAGUAGUUAAUAGGAGAUCGGGGCAUUGAUUCUUAAGACGACUGGCCGGGUCGUCAUAAUAUGAAGCACUAGAGCAAGGUAAAGUUUACCUUAAGAACAUUAUUGUCUUAAAAAAUCCCUUCCUCAUCGGAAUUGGAUUGACCAACUAAUUUGUUAUUCCUCUUCUCCUCUUUGGCUAAACCUCCAUUACUAGAUUUUCUGAAAGUAGCUUAUAAGAGAGAAUUUAACCAAAGAGACCACGUAAGUCUGCAUUUAAGAAACCAAACCUCCCUUUUCUAUGCUUUUGCUGAUGCUUUGC
This 2584-nucleotide long non-coding RNA is filed under the name Nicotiana tabacum (common tobacco). Its description in RNAcentral is "long non-coding RNA (NTAB_LNC002644)". Lineage: Eukaryota; Viridiplantae; Streptophyta; Magnoliopsida; Solanales; Solanaceae. The record is from RNAcentral.